This 398-nucleotide ribosomal RNA is filed under the name uncultured bacterium. RNAcentral's name for it is "bacterial SSU rRNA". It matches the Rfam family "Bacterial small subunit ribosomal RNA", at positions 361 to 776 of the family's 1533-position model. The record is from RNAcentral.
AUUUUGGGCAAUGGGCGAAAGCCUGACCCAGCAACGCCGCGUGAGGGAUGAAGUAUUUCGGUAUGUAAACCUCGAAAGAAUAGGAAGAAUAAAUGACGGUACUAUUUAUAAGCUCCGGCUAACUACGUGCCAGCAGCCGCGGUAAUACGUAGGGAGCAAGCGUUGUUCGGAUUUACUGGGCGUAAAGGGCGCGUAGGCGGUAUAUUAAGUCAGCUGUGAAAUCUCCGAGCUUAACUCGGAACUGUCAGCUGAUACUGAUGUGCUAGAGUGCAGAAGGGGCAAUCGGAAUUCUUGGUGUAGCGGUGAAAUGCGUAGAUAUCAAGAGGAACACCUGAGGUGAAGACGGGUUGCUGGGCUGACACUGACGCUGAGGCGCGAAAGCCAGGGGAGCAAACGGG